This 467-nucleotide ribosomal RNA is filed under the name uncultured bacterium. RNAcentral's name for it is "partial 16S ribosomal RNA". It matches the Rfam family "Bacterial small subunit ribosomal RNA", at positions 28 to 507 of the family's 1533-position model. The record is from RNAcentral.
GGUGAACGCUGGCGGCGUGCCUAAGACAUGCAAGUCGAGCGGGGCAGGUUUAUACCUGUUCAGCGGCGGACGGGUGAGUAACGCGUGGGUGACCUACCCGGAAGAGGCGGACAACCUGGGGAAACCCAGGCUAAUCCGCCAUGUGGUCCUGUCCUGUGGGGCAGGACUAAAGGCGCGACCCGCUUCCGGAUGGGCCCGCGUCCCAUCAGCUAGUUGGUGGGGUAAAGGCCCACCAAGGCGACGACGGGUAGCCGGUCUGAGAGGAUGGCCGGCCACAGGGGCACUGGGACACGGGCGCCACUCCUACGGGAGGCAGCAGGUAGGAAGCUUCCGCAAUGGACGGAAGUCUGACGGAGCGACGCCGCUUGGAGGGGGAAGCCCUUCGGGGUGUAAACUCCUGAACUGGGGACGAAAGCCCCGUGUAGGGGGAUGACGGAACCCAGGUAAUAGCGCCGGCCAACUCCGUG